Podarcis lilfordi (Lilford's wall lizard) is the source of this 72-nucleotide non-coding RNA. Lineage: Eukaryota; Metazoa; Chordata; Lepidosauria; Squamata; Lacertidae. The record is from the annotation of a GenBank genome assembly.
AAGAACAAAUAAACGGGUCAGUGCGUCUGGCUGUUAACCAGAAGGUUGGUGGUUCAAGCCCACCCAGGGUUG